AAAAAAAAAAGUUGCUGAUUCCAGUCUAGAGGAAACAGUAAGGAAGAGAAAAGAGAAAUUCUCAUUAUAGCCAUGGCAAAGGAAGGGACAUUUUUAUGGACUACAUCUCUGCCUGGAUGGCUGUCUCUAACUGGAUUUUGCCGAUAUAUUGCUGAUUUGGUGAGUCGGAGUUUCACUCUGUCGCCCAGGCUGGAGCGCAGUGGUGUGAUUGCGGCUCACUGCAACCUCUGCCUCCAGGGUUCAAGCGAUUCUCCUGCCUCAGCCUCCCGAGUAGCUGAGACUACAGACAUGUGCCACCACACUCAGUGGGAGAUAUGAAAUUAUCCAGGAAUGGCAAUUUGACCACAAAAUACAUGAACAGAUGGUUCUUGCAUUUGAAUGGGAAAAGAUGCUGCCUAGUCCAUCUUGAAUUGGAAAAUGUUGUGACUCAUAGUGCAAAUUUUACACUUUUGGAUGCAUUUGGAUUUCUUGGAUGUUGUAAGCACUUCUCCUUCCUGCCGCCACGUGAAGAAGGACAUGUUUGCUUCCCCUUCCACCAUGAUUGUAAGUUUCCUGAGGCCACCCAGUCCUGCAGAACUGAGAUUUUCACAGCUAUCUGUGAUGCUAUCUUGUGACCAUGAGGAGUGCUAAGCUGAAUCACAAAUCCACCAUGCUGAGGACAGCACAACAAAGACUUGGGGACUUAAUGGUUUUAACCAGUCACUGGGUUAACAAACCCUGGAACAAUCCUACCUCAAGACUUCAGUUACCUGUCCUGCUGACAUCAGACCCAGCACCAGGUGCAGAAGCAACCAUCAUACAAAAAUCAAGCUUCCUUAAUUAUAGAUGGAGUCUCCCUGUGUUGGCCAGGCUGGUCUUGAGCUCCUGGGCUCAAGCAAGCCUUCCACUUCAGCCUCCAGCAAUCCUCCCACCUUGGCCUCCCACAGUGCUGGGAUUACAGGUGGGAGUCACUGAACCUAGACUUGACUUUAGCUUCUUGAAGAGGAAAUUUUGAUCUUUGCUUUUAAACCUUUCUCAUUUCAAAUACAAAUAUUUAAAACUGUACAUUUUCCACUAAACACAGCUUUUGGUUGGGUCUCACAUAAUUUGGUAUAAUGUACUUUAAUUUUUAUUCAGUUUUAAAUAUGUGCUAAUUUCCCUUUGGAUUUCUUUUUUGAUCCGUAGUA
This 1166-nucleotide long non-coding RNA is filed under the name Pongo abelii (Sumatran orangutan). Its description in RNAcentral is "lincRNA". Lineage: Eukaryota; Metazoa; Chordata; Mammalia; Primates; Hominidae. The record is from RNAcentral.